GACGAACGCUGGCGGCGUGCUUAACACAUGCAAGUCGAACGGAAAGGCCCUGCUUUUGUGGGGUGCUCGAGUGGCGAACGGGUGAGUAACACGUGAGUAACCUGCCCUUGACUUUGGGAUAACUUCAGGAAACUGGGGCUAAUACCGGAUAGGAGCUCCUGCUGCAUGGUGGGGGUUGGAAAGUUUCGGCGGUUGGGGAUGGACUCGCGGCUUAUCAGCUUGUUGGUGGGGUAGUGGCUUACCAAGGCUUUGACGGGUAGCCGGCCUGAGAGGGUGACCGGCAACAGUGGGACUGAGAUACGGCCCGGACUCCUACGGGAGGCAGCAGUGGGGAAGAUUGCACAAUGGGCGGAAGCCUGAUGCAGCAACGCCGCGUGCGGGAUGACGGCCUUCGGGUUGGAAACCGCUUUCGCCUGUGACGAAGCGUGAGUGACGGUAAUGGGUAAAGAAGCACCGGCUAACUACGUG
RNAcentral lists this ribosomal RNA (468 nucleotides) under uncultured bacterium. Its description in RNAcentral is "partial 16S ribosomal RNA". It matches the Rfam family "Bacterial small subunit ribosomal RNA", at positions 28 to 507 of the family's 1533-position model. The record is from RNAcentral.